CCUAUGAUCACCUUUACAUACGAUAGAGUGAGAACAAAGAGGACCCAGGCCAGCACCUGAGGAGCACAGAGGCAGGCAGGAGUACGACUGCACUGAUGGAAGCAAGGUGUUGGUCAGAGCGCACACCCAGGCCAGUAUCCCAAAGAUAUAAAACACCUGCAUCCAGCUGUAUGAGCCGGUGCCGAAGCUGCUUCUUGGCUUUGGGUUUGCUUCCAUGUAGGGAUCCAUCAUGGGCUUCUGCUCGGCCAGCUUCCUCUCUGUCAAAGAUUUGUCUUUCACCCCGUUUUUGUAGCAAGUGUUUGGGUGCUCCCUGGCCACGGCUGGGUGGUAGUUCAGCAGCAAGAACGCCACCAAGCACACCAGCAUCAUGGCACUCAGGAAGAAGAAGAACACCUCCACAGAGAAGUUAGCCGGCUGAUAUUCGGCCCUGAGGUCAAAGGUCGAGGCACUGUUGGUAGUGUUCAUGGUGUGGUUUAGUGACGGUGUGCUGUUAGUGCAGUGGACGACCCCCACGCCCUGAGUCAGAGCCACCAGAGCAGGCAGGAGGCCGCUCACACCCUCCCCGAUGUAGUACGUGGUCAGGUACUGGGGUUUUAAACGCAUUGUGAAGGGCAGGAAGGUGACAGAGGAGGUGCAGUCAACAACAGAGAGGAAGAAAGUCAACGCAAGGAGGGCUACGCUCCGAGGAAGGCCGGCUACAACAACCGUCUCCUUCCAGAAGAACCCCAGCAGGAAGCUCGCCACAGUCCCCAGCCCGAUGAUCAGAUAUAUGACGGCUAUCUCAUUCAGGGCGCCAGGAUGAAAGCGGUGCAUCACAGUGACAAAGAGGGGGCCAAUGUUGGCCAUCUGGAUGAUUACCGAGAGGUACGAAGGAAGCAACCAGCCCUCUGGGAUCUGGGGGACAAUGAGGGGCAGCUCCACCCAAAGGCCGUUGAUGGAGACCCAGGAACCCAUCCCGAACAGGCAUGCCAGCAGCUUGCAGAAUUGGUUUCCACACUCACCACCAGAGCCUCGCCAGUAGUGCUUCCUACGAGAGGAGGACAGGGACUGAGUGCUGCUAACGCCAUGAGAUAUGCAGCAAAUACUCCUGCUGCUAUGGACAGGAUGCCCAGACCAGGGGAGGACCUAGAGGACAAAACAUGAGCUCAUCAAAACACUGUUGUCAUAUAUUCGAUAACAAACAUGGCCAAGAAGCAGGCCAGGGGGUUUGCUAUGUUUCCGAGGACCACAGACAGGUGAAAGGUCAUGGUGCCAUAAGGCAAACAGGUGAAACUCUGCACAGACGGCAGCACCCCGUUGGUGAGCGCGUUGGAGACAGCGAGCAGAAACAGCAGGUAGAUGUUCCUCUGAGUCCAAAACGUCUGAGCAGGAGGUUGUUCCUCGAUCUGAACCUGCUCCUCAGACACCGGCGUCAUCGCUCCGUUAUGCAGAGGAUGCGUCUCCUCUCCGUUUUUGGCUGCUGUCGUGUUGUCGUCCUCCUGUGGUAGAGCAUCUUUCUGUGGCUCUGUCUGCCUUCGCGUUAUAGCCCAGAAGCUCACAGACGAGACUGACAGCAUGACACACAAGAACCAGAAGAAGUUCUGUGCUGGAAAGUUCUCUUUUAAAUACUCUGGCGUCACCGUGCCGUUCACAGUUUUGCAUUCCAGCUUACCGACGCCUUGUCCUAACGCCACGAUGCAGGGGAACAAGGCGCUGAAGCCCUGACCUAUGAAGAAGGUACGGAUAUACUGCGGGGGGUAACGGAACAUGAAAGGCAGGAAGGUGACGUUGGACGUGCAGCAAACUAAAGCCAACACAAAGGUGAAUAUCAGGAACAGCAGGGACCUUUCUUCUCCUGCUAUUGUGACGGUGUGAGACCAGAAAACAGCCAAGAGAGCCGACGCUGCCACCGCCAGCAGCUGGAUGCAGUGGAUGAUGAGGCGUUCAUUCAAACAUCCUGGAGCGCAGUGAUGUGUGAUGGUCACUGCGAUGGGGCCGAGGUUCCCAAAGGCGAUCAGUACUGAGAGAUAAGCGGGCAGGUUCCAGCCUGAAAAAGAGGAAAGACAAUUAUCUAUUAGAGCGAUCGAGGCAGUGAAGAGCUUCUGUCAAUCCCAAAAUCAAAGACCUUUCUAUUUCCCUCUUUUUGUGCUUCCUCAUCAGGGGUGGGUUAAAAUAUUGAUACAGCAAUAUAAUGUCAUCCUAACUUGUAACAAACAUUUGGAUCUCUGACGCCGAGUCUGGAUAUCUUCAUUUGAAAACAAUACGACCCAUGAAACAGAUUUCCCUUACUACUCCAUGAUUCCUCACGGUGGUGCUAACGACAUGUCCUAUACUUUAACUGAUGGGUUGAUUAAUCUCUUACAUUACACAUUUUUUUUUUUAAAACUGACCACAUGUUUACUGAGUGAAACCUCAAUAUGAAGUAGAUAUAGCAGCAUUCAUACUUUCAAGCAUGCAUUCCAAAUUGCUGCACAAAAGAACAGAGACUGAAAACAACAGUAAUAGGUAAAAGUGGAGAGGAAAGGGAUAU
Molecule: long non-coding RNA, 2509 nt
Organism: Notolabrus celidotus (New Zealand spotty)
Lineage: Eukaryota; Metazoa; Chordata; Actinopteri; Labriformes; Labridae
Exons: 4
Source: RefSeq, a predicted model, not a curated record